RNAcentral lists this small RNA (762 nucleotides) under Histoplasma capsulatum var. duboisii H88. Its description in RNAcentral is "Histoplasma capsulatum H88 hypothetical RNA". The record is from RNAcentral. Lineage: Eukaryota; Fungi; Ascomycota; Eurotiomycetes; Onygenales; Ajellomycetaceae.
CAGUGAGAUAUAUUGCCCUCAGUAAUUAUCCAGUAUUUUUUAGAUGCCAGCAACAACUUAUCAUGCUGUAGCUGCAGAAUCCGUAUAAAUGAUUUCCGAUCCGGUUCAUAGUCCAUUCAACUUCACCAAUCUCUAUACCGAGUGUAAGAGAUAUGGUUGCAAAAACGAGGUCAAGCGUGGGAAGGUCUGCAGCAAAUGCGGGAUGAAGAACUGAAAGCGCGCAGAUGUUACUCUGAGGAACUACGUCGUCCUUGUGUGAAUUUGUUUUAGUCGGCCGCUUGGCUUGUUCACCUUCAAAAAUCAACAGGCUGAUACGGUCUAUGUGACUCUCAAGGGACGCGUUUUGCAUAAUUCAUACGCUCUACCUCAGAUCCAAUCAAACGCCAUUGAGAAAUGGGUAUAUCGGCAGUUAUUGGGAAAGAAAUUCAGAAGGCACAUUGACAUCUCAGUAUUAGUUAUAAUGAAGAACACACGUGGGAAUUAACACCAACCUCCCGACUUUGCCCAGAAUCACAAUUUCGCAACUAGACCCUGCUCAAUUUCCUUCUUCGCCUCCUCCCGGAGCAGCCUCUUCAAAAUCUUCCCACUCGCAUUCUUGGGAAUCGAACUGACAAACUUCACACCACCAGUCAAAUACUUGUACCUAGCUAGCUUCGCCCCCGCAAACUCCUGCAGCUCCUUUUCUGUCAACUUCUGACUGGCUGGGCCAGGCUGACGCACGACAUAAGCGCGCGGGUGUUCAAUUUUCUCCUUCUCGCCCCC